GACGAACGCUGGCGGCGUGCCUAAUACAUGCAAGUCGAACGAAGCUGUUUUAACUGGUGCUUGCACCGACUUAAACAACUGAGUGGCGAACGGGUGAGAACACGUGGGUAACCUGCCCCAAAGCGGGGGAUAACAUUUGGAAACAGAUGCUAAUACCCCAUAAUCAAAGAAACCACAUGGUUUCUGUGUUAAAGAUGGUUUCGGCUAUCACUUUGGGAUGGACCCGCGGCGUAUUAGCUAGUUGGUAAGGUAAUGGCUUACCAAGGCAAUGAUACGUAGCCGAACUGAGAGGUUGAUCGGCCACAUUGGAACUGAGACACGGCCCAAACUCCUACGGGAGGCAGCAGUAGGAAAUCUUCACAAUGGACGAAAGUCUGAUGGAGCAACGCCGCGUGAGUGAAGAAGGUUUUCGGAUCGUAAAACUCUGUUGUCAGAGAAGAACGUGUGCGAGAGUAACUGUUCGUGCAGUGACGGUAUCUGGCCAGAAAGCCACGGCUAACUACGUGCCAGCAGCCGCCGUAA
RNAcentral lists this ribosomal RNA (522 nucleotides) under uncultured bacterium. RNAcentral describes it as "partial 16S ribosomal RNA". It matches the Rfam family "Bacterial small subunit ribosomal RNA", at positions 28 to 523 of the family's 1533-position model. The record is from RNAcentral.